AACAAAAACAAAAGAAAAAAUCUAGUUUCACAACAUCCACCCAGGCCGUGGCAGUAACGGUUCCAAGAUGCGCUUGGCCUAUUGCCUUUUUCCGACAUUAAUCUGUUUUCACUCCUCCCAAACUCUUCUUCUUUCUUCCUUCUUCCUUCUUCUCACUCAUCGCAUAAAUUACACAAAUCCAAUGUACUUCGCCCUAAACUCCUCUUCUUCCCUAGGUACCACCUAGCUAGGGUUUAUCUCUCUCACUCACUCACUGCCAACAAAACCCUACCCUUCCCCUCCCCAUCCCAAUCUUCAUUCUCCCUCGCCGAUUCUGGUUUAGCAAGAAUCGAAACGAAGCGUUUCGCUCGUGGAAAUUACGAUGAUUCAAAUAUAAAAAAGAGGAAUCAUUCCUCUGUACUCUAUUAGAAGCAGUGAAGGUUGGGAUUUUGGUGUUAGUUUAUUACUAGUUUUAGUUGAAUAGAAAGUUCUCACUGGAAAGAUGUAUAAUCAAGUGAAUCGCGGUUCUAAUUUUGGGCAGAGUUCUGUUCCUCCGGUGCUGCCACCACCGCCACCACCACAGUAUCAGCAAGCUCCGCCACAUUUUCAUCAAUUUCCACCACCGCCACGACCACCAUCUAAUACUGGUGGUCCACCGCUGCCACCACCACCUCCCAACAUUGGUGGUCCACCACCACCACCUCCGCCACCUCAUAAUGUGUAUUUACCUGGACCUCCCCCUCCGCCUACUUCGUCUUCCGCAGUUCCCUUGAACCUUGCGGUUCAAGGUUCCCAUAGUGUGAUGCCAAAUGCCGGCCGAUCAUAUGCUGUCCCUUCUCAAUUGCACCUUGGGAACACCAUGGGGCCGCAAACAUCUUGGGCUCCUGUGCCACCAACUAGAGUAUUGCCACCGCCACCGCCACCUCCCUCGGUUUCCCAAGGACAAAUUUUUUAUAACCCUCCUUUCCAUCGCCCUCGUCUGCAGCCCGGUGAUGUUCAGAAUCUGCAUAAUGCUCCUCCCCCACCUCCUCCAUCAGUGUAUUUCCAUUCAACUGUUGGGAAUUACCACGUUCCUUCUGGUGUUCCCCCACCAUUGCCAUCGUCUCCACCACCUGUUCUGCCGGCUCCGCCGCCCGUAACCUCUGCAUCACCAAAUGCCGCACGCACUGAUGACCCUCACUCUGUGAAGGUUUCUGGCUUGGAAUCAAAGGCUGUGGAUUUGGUUGACGGAGUUGUAGCUUCUCAUCCAUCUGGUCUUGUGCCUGUACAUGAUUCUGAUUCUAAUUGGGAUGGUGCAAGUUGUAGAGAGGUUGCUGGUGCUGGCAGAGAUGAGGAUCUUCCCCCACCCAAGCCAACAAAAGAAAAAACUUUGGAGAAGAUUGAAGCUUUGUGUCAGCUUAUUGCUGAGAAGGGUGCUGAUAUUGAAGAUAAGAUUCGCCAAGAUGAAUUUCAGAAUCCUGAAUAUGCAUUUUUGUUUGGUGGAGACCCGGGAACCGAAGCUGCAAUUUCUCACACUUAUUUCUUGUGGAUGAAGAAGAAAUAUAAUUUGGAUACUGGAUGGCAUGAAAAGAAAAGGCAAUCAGAUAUAGUAUACUCUUCAGGGGAACAGUAUCAUCUGCAUGUUACAACCGUGAGUGCUGAUUCUGACAUGGAAAUGGAAGAUGAUAUUACACUUUCUGACAAGGACCUAGGUUCAAAUUAUGCAACUGAAGUCCUAACUCAUCAACAUAAUCGGGAUGAUGAAGUGUUUAGUGUGAAUCAGAAUAUAAAGAAGCUGCAGAAUUUAACAGAGAAUUGCCCUGCCCAGGACAUCUCAUCCUGCAGUGCAUCAUACUUUGGAUCCAUGGGAGUCAGCAAACAGAAUGAAGGACCAGAGACUUUAUCUGGAUCAGAGCACAUGAAAUCUGUAAGAUCAGUUACCAAGGUUUGUAGUCCUGUGAAUGACUCCACUAAAGUGGCUGAAUUACCGCUGGGCACAGCUUUGGAAAAAUCUACAGCUCCUGUAGAUGAUGAUUUCACACGUACUGGUACUUCUGAUCACAAUGAAACCACUGCUACUGAUAGAGAUUCUGGGCAACUCAUAAGGAGUGGUAGCCCAAUAAGACUUCUUCAAGAUUAUGCUUCUGAUGACACUUCAGAUAAUGAAGAAGAAGGCAAUGCUGCAGAUGCUAAUGUUUUCACAGUCUCAGGAGGUGCUGACACUGGUGUUUCAGCUGCUCAUAAAGAUUCUGGGAGUUAUGUGGAGACUGACAUUGGAUCUAAGAGUCCCUUCAGUGCCCAAAAGGGCUUUGGGCCGCUCUCCAGAAAAUCGCAGGGUGAUUUAGAAAUAGCUCCACAUUUAUUACAAGAGUCUAAGAAAACCCCUUACAGUAAAAAAUCUGUCUCACGCUGGUCUAGUGAGCAUAACCUUGAAAAUCAAGUGUCUGCUUUAAAGGGCAAAGAUGGAUUAGAGAGUACUGGCAUUGACAGUAGUAGUAAAAGUGGUAAUACUGAAAAGGAAGAUGAGGGGAAAACCUCAAAGUUGGAACCAAAUGUUCUGAAAGUUGAUGAAUUCGGAAGACAUCUCAAAGAAGGUCUUACAGAUAGUGACUCUGAUAAUUCACACUAUCAUCGGACAAGGAGACUAAACAAAAGAGAUAGAAGCUGGAGUCGCAGCCGGUCUCCUCCAGACAGGAGGAGUAGGAGGAAUAGGAGGAGUCCCCGGAGGAGAAGGGAUAAAAGAAACAGGUCUCACAGCUGGUCUCCCCGGCACCGAAGAAGCAGGAGUAGGUCUCCAAUCUCAAGACGUUCAGGUGACUUUCGUGGUGAGAAUGUGAAAAAGGACAAGGAUCAGUGCUUGGACUUCCUUCGAGGAAAGUGCUAUCGAGGAGCAUCUUGCAAGUACAUUCACCAUGAAUCUGACAUGAAUGCUACUUCAAGGCACUAUAGGAAUAAACAUGAUCUGGAAGCCAGUUCUCAUGCAAAAGAAUCUAAGAUUAAUGGAGACAUGAAGAGUAUUUCUUCUAAAGUGUUGGUUAAUGAGCGUGAUGGAGUCAGAAGUCAGGAUGUGGAUCUUUGCCAGAAUGUAACUAGCCAGGAAGUAAUGAAGAAAAAAGAUGAUUCAUGGAGGCAUGCUGGUGCAUCAACUACUAUUCAUCUUGAUGGUCAUUCAGUUAAUAGCAAUCUAAGUAAAUCUGAAUAUAUCAGAGAGGUUGCUCCUGAAAAGCAGGAAACCAUAGUAGUGAGGGAGGAGCCUAAGACUUUAAUCCUUGAAAAUGAUGGUUUGAAAGCAGGGGAUUCUCAUCAGCAAAACUUAGUUGAUGGUUUUCACCCUGAAGCUUUAGGCAGUGGUGAUGCUUCUAAACCAUCUGGUACAUAUAAAGAUGCCAUUCCCUCAGAAGAUGGUUCAUUUGUUCAGCAAAUGCAACUCAAUGUUGCAGCUGUUGGAAUUCCAGAACAUUCUGGUUAUGCAUCUCAGCAUGUAAAUGCAUCCUUUGUGACCGGUUCAUCACCUGAUAGAAGAUCAAUUGUUUCUGCUAGUGUUAAUGAAGCUCCUGGUAGUAAACCGUUACCAUUGUUGUCAUCGACUCAGCAACAAUCAGCCACUAGUUCUGUUGGGCAAUGUGUCACAUCAGAGCAGCCUUCAUUGCACUGUCAGGCUUCUAAAGAGUUACCUCCACAGAGUGGUUCUUCAGGGGAAUUUCCACUUCAUACUUACCAGUUGCCUGCUUCUGCUGUUUCACAUUUCCAGGGUGAAAAUCCUGUGCAUAUGCCUCAAAUUUUUAGGCAGUAUGGUGUGAUGCAACAAAGUGCAUUCAUUCCUUUCCAAUCCACUACCAGAGAAAAGUAUGAACCUUAUCCAGCUCCAUUACACAUGCAGAAUGCUCACUUCAAUGUACCACCUAAUAGCUCUUGGACAUCCUUGCCCCUGCCACCACCGCCACCACCAAGAGCGGUGUAUGAUUCCAGUUUAAACUCAGGAGUUGGAAAAUCAUAUAUUUCUUCUGAAUUCAAUCAGAGUCAAUUGCAUUCAAGAACUGACUUUGUUUUUCAGACUUCCAUGAAGCCUGGGUUACCAACUGGUUCUCAGAAUUCUGAAUUUCUGGAUCAAGCAUACCCUCCAAUGCAGGAUCAUUCACGAGCUUUCAUGCUUACAGAACCUUUCUCUCCAAAGCAUCUCCCUCAGGGGAAACCAGCUAGUCAAUUACCUUCAGGCUCUAAUCUCAAUAGAGAUGACUUUCAUAAUCAACUUCCUAUGCAGGAUUCAAAAUUUUCAAGUACCCCAUCAUUUGGCAGCCUGCAGCCUCAACCAAAUCAAUUUUCCUGGAAGGUGGAUGUGAACAGACUACAACCUAGUCUGGGUGGCAAGUUGCCUCCUGAAGGACAUCAUAUGACAUCUUCCCACAUUGAUUCAUUAUCACAGAAGCAACAAUCAAUAUAUAAUUUUCAAUGUUCUGUUUCCGAGGCUAAUUUGGGUGUGCCUGGGGAGAAUGCUACUGCUUCAAGAUAUCCACCUGAUUUUCUGGAUAGCAAUCAUUCAACUUCUCUUCCAUCUUUUGGGGGAUCAAGAAUAUCUGCUCACUAUAAUCCUUAUGCAUCAACCUUUGAGAAACCACUAACUUUCAAAUUCAGUUCAAGUAUUUUUAGACAGGAAAAUGAAAUAAUCCAUGGUAACAAUUAUGCUUCUUCAAUAUUGAACCAUACUCCUGUGAAUGGGGAAGAUGGUGGUGGGGUUGGAUCAAGACAGUCAGCUUCCUCAUCAAAAUCAGCUAGAGCUCUUGGUCAGAUUUUACCUAGGUCUGGUGGUGACCAAUAUGACCCACUUUUUGACAGCAUUGAACCAUCAUCCUCUUCUCUGAAAAAAAAUGAUUUUGAUCAGAAGAAGGAAGUUACAGGUGAAUCCAACAUCAGCCUAAGGCCCAAAAGUUCUUACAUGUCUUUGGACUCGGAUGAGAAGAACAAGCACGAGGAGGUUGGGGCUGUUGCCUCUACCACUUCUCAAAAUAAUGAUGAAUAUGGUGAAACAGCAGAUGCAGAAGUAGGUGCUGUUGAAAAUGAGAGCCUAAGUGAUGAUGUGGAUGUUGCAAAAAUGACUUCAGGGGAGGUUGAGAUUAAUCAGGUCAAGUCUCCUGGGAAAAGAAAAAAGAGUAAGGAUUCCAGAUCGAUGAAAUUGUUCAAAGUUUCCAUUGCGAAUUUUGUAAAGGAGGUUUUGAAACCAUCAUGGCGGCAAGGUAAUAUGAGUAAGGUGGCUUUCAAAACCAUUGUGAAAAAGACUGUGGAUAAAGUGUCAGGAGCCAUGAAAGGCCACCGUGUACCCAAGUCCCAAGUGAAGAUAAGUCAAUAUAUUGAUUCAUCACAGCGAAAGUUGACUAAACUUGUGAUGGGUUAUGUUGACAAGUAUGUCAAGGUAUGAAAGUGAAGUAUGCAAAUGUUUCUCCAACAUUAAAUGUCAAUAUAGGUGCAUCAUUUCAACAGGAAACGUCAAUGCUUACUUCUCUGGAGUUGUCUCCUCUCAGUUGAAGGCGUACUACGUAGGUGCGAGAAUGAUUGAUCAACAUUCAAGUUCCUGAAGAAGUUUUGGUCGUCCCCGAUAUUGACCUCAUCAAAUAUCUUCCGCGAACUGAACCAUGGAAAUGAAGAAGCUUUUCUUGCAGAGAUGCUGUUAAUCAAAUUUGUUUUUAAUCGUGGAGGAUUGGUGAUGCAUUAUUAUAUUCUGAUUAAUUAUAAUGUAAAUUGACCUUGGUCUUUUAUUUUAUCAUAUAUUUGAUUUGAAGCAAGUCCUCUCUCCGGCAGAAAUACCGGCUACCAUCUGAGCUUGUUACUUAAGUGACAAUAUCACUGGUUUUUGUAUAGUGCACGAGUUUAGCUUGUGUGAAAAUUUCUCAAAAGGAAAUAUUUCUUGUAAACUGUUUUCUUUACAUAUUUUUUUUAUUAAAAAAAUGAUAUUGUCUUGA
Molecule: RNA transcript, 5912 nt
Organism: Glycine soja
Lineage: Eukaryota; Viridiplantae; Streptophyta; Magnoliopsida; Fabales; Fabaceae
Exons: 7
Source: RefSeq, a predicted model, not a curated record